AAACCAUGCAUCAGACAUUUUCAAAUUAGUUCCUUGAAACGUUCCCAAGCUUCAUAUAAUAUCUUAUCUUCAGAUUGCCUAAAUGAUGUAAUGUUGUUCCUUGGCUU
RNAcentral lists this small nucleolar RNA (107 nucleotides) under Gossypium hirsutum (cotton). RNAcentral describes it as "Plant small nucleolar RNA R71". It matches the Rfam family "Plant small nucleolar RNA R71". Rfam says of the family: R71 is a member of the C/D box family of snoRNAs containing the C (UGAUGA) and D (CUGA) box motifs. Multiple nearly identical copies of this snoRNA have been identified in Arabidopsis, and it is thought to function as a 2'-O-ribose methylation guide for 18S ribosomal RNA. Lineage: Eukaryota; Viridiplantae; Streptophyta; Magnoliopsida; Malvales; Malvaceae. The record is from Rfam by way of RNAcentral.